RNAcentral lists this ribosomal RNA (253 nucleotides) under uncultured bacterium. RNAcentral describes it as "partial 16S ribosomal RNA". It matches the Rfam family "Bacterial small subunit ribosomal RNA", at positions 524 to 776 of the family's 1533-position model. The record is from RNAcentral.
UCCGGAGGGCGCAAUCGUUGCUCGGAAUUACUGGGCGUAAAGCGCGUGCAGGCGGUCGAGUAAGUCGGUUGUGAAAUCCCCAGGCUCAACCUGGGAACUGCAUCCGAAGCUGCUCGGCUAGAGUCCCGGAGAGGGAGGCGGAACUCCCAGUGUAGGGGUGAAAUCCGUAGAUAUUGGGAAGAACACCGGCGGCGAAAGCGGCCUCCUGGACGGUGACUGACGCUGAGACGCGAAAGCGUGGGGAGAAAACAGG